CAAUAGCGUAUAUUAAAGUUGUUGCGGUUAAAAAGCUCGUAGUUGGAUUUCUGUUGAGGGCAGCCGGUCCGCACUCGGUGCGUGUAUCUGGUUUGACCUCGGCAUCCUCUCAAAAUACGUUUCUGCGCUUGAUUGCGUGGAGCGGAGUUUGAGACUUUUACUUUGAGGAAAUUAGAGUGUUCACGGCAGGCAAUCGCCUUGAAUAUAUUAGCAUGGAAUAAUAAUAUAGGAUCUUGGUUCUAUUUUGUUGGUUUCUAGAGCUAAGAUAAUGAUUAAUAGGGACAAUUGGGGGCAUUCGUAUUAACGCGUCAGAGGUGGAAUUCUUGGAUUGCGUUACGACGAACUACUGCGAAAGCAUUUGCCAAGGAUGUUUUCAUUGA
RNAcentral lists this ribosomal RNA (380 nucleotides) under uncultured eukaryote. RNAcentral describes it as "partial 18S ribosomal RNA". It matches the Rfam family "Eukaryotic small subunit ribosomal RNA", at positions 592 to 976 of the family's 1831-position model. The record is from RNAcentral.